AAAAAAGUACUAUAAUUAUUGUACAUGUAUCUUCAUACUUUGUUCACAUUUUUGUUCAACUUUACAAAAUCAAACUAGUAUUAAGUUCUGUCUACAGUAUGCAUGUUCAUACAUAAAAGCGAAAAUUUCACAAAGUUGAAUAGCCAGUUGAUGGCAGUCAGUUGUCGUGACAAAACAUAAACAAAGACAUGUAAACAGAUAAAUUGUCAUAAUGGCCAUUAAUCACUCAAUGAUUACAAUUUGAAAUGUUCAAUUCCUUUUUUGCCAAAAAAAUCUAAAAUAAAAAAAUAAUCACGAAAUACUACAGUUUUUACAUAACUCAUAUUUUAACACUCAAGUUAUCUGUUGGUGGCCGAUCAAUAAAGUAUCAAAAAGAAUUCUUUAAAAUUGCAAGUAAAAGGGAAAAGUUAAAUUUUAAUAAGUAAUCCUGGACCCUUAAUAAAUUCAUUAUAACUUAGUGUAAAGACCUUUUUAUCUAAUUUGUAAGAAGCUUAUCACCCCACACAGUCAACCUAGGUUGAAACUAUUCAUUGAGACUUUAUGCAAUUUGACAACAUGUCGGGUUUAAUUUUUGAAAUUGAUUGUGGAAAUGAUCAAAUAUAGGCCAUAGUCAUAAAAUUUUGUAUGCAAGGCCAUAUUAAACAAAAUUAGAAAAUAACAAAACAAAGCAUCCCUAAUAUCAUCUGGUAAGAUAUAUGUACAACCAUGUAUUGACUCCCCCC
Molecule: long non-coding RNA, 722 nt
Filed under: Mytilus galloprovincialis (Mediterranean mussel)
Lineage: Eukaryota; Metazoa; Mollusca; Bivalvia; Mytilida; Mytilidae
Source: RNAcentral